RNAcentral lists this ribosomal RNA (429 nucleotides) under Chloroflexota bacterium. Its description in RNAcentral is "Chloroflexi bacterium partial 16S ribosomal RNA". It matches the Rfam family "Bacterial small subunit ribosomal RNA", at positions 355 to 776 of the family's 1533-position model. The record is from RNAcentral. Lineage: Bacteria; Bacillati; Chloroflexota.
UGGGGAAUAUUGCACAAUGGGCGCAAGCCUGAUGCAGCCAUGCCGCGUGUAUGAAGAAGGCCUUCGGGUUGUAAAGUACUUUCAGUCGGGAGGAAGGUGUCAAGGUUAAUAACCUUGGCAAUUGACGUUACCGACAGAAGAAGCACCGGCUAACUCCGUGCCAGCAGCCGCGGUAAUACGGAGGGUGCAAGCGUUAAUCGGAAUUACUGGGCGUAAAGCGCACGCAGGCGGUUGAUUGAGUCAGAUGUGAAAUCCCCGGGCUUAACCCGGGAAUUGCAUCUGAUACUGGUCAGCUAGAGUCUUGUAGAGGGGGGUAGAAUUCCAUGUGUAGCGGUGAAAUGCGUAGGGAUGUGGAGGAAUACCGGUGGCGAAGGCGGCCCCCUGGACGAAGACUGACGCUCAGGUGCGAAAGCGUGGGGAGCAAACAGG